RNAcentral lists this ribosomal RNA (267 nucleotides) under uncultured bacterium. RNAcentral describes it as "partial 16S ribosomal RNA". It matches the Rfam family "Bacterial small subunit ribosomal RNA", at positions 495 to 762 of the family's 1533-position model. The record is from RNAcentral.
UAGUAUCAGCGUGUCAGCAGCCGCGGUAAUACGGAGGGUGCAAGCGUUGUCCGGAUUUAUUGGGUUUAAAGGGUGCGUAGGCGGCGUCAUAAGUCCGUGGCGAAAGCCAACAGCUCAACUGUUGAACUGCCAUGGAUACUGUGAGGCUUGAGUACAGACGAGGUAGGCGGAAUGGAUAGUGUAGCGGUGAAAUGCAUAGAUACUAUCCAGAACACCGAUUGCGAAGGCAGCUUACAGACUGUAACUGACGCUGAGGCACGAAAGCGU